RNAcentral lists this unclassified non-coding RNA (456 nucleotides) under uncultured Mortierella. RNAcentral describes it as "sequence contains ITS2". The stretch from base 1 to 154 matches the Rfam family "5.8S ribosomal RNA". The record is from RNAcentral. Lineage: Eukaryota; Fungi; Mortierellomycota; Mortierellomycetes; Mortierellales; Mortierellaceae.
AACUUUUAACAACGGAUCUCUUGGCUCUCGCAUCGAUGAAGAACGCAGCGAAAUGCGAUACGUAAUGUGAAUUGCAGAAUUCAGUGAAUCAUCGAAGCUUUGAACGCAUAUUGCGCUCUUUGGUAUUCCGAAGAGCAUGCUUGUUUGAGUAUCAGUAAACACCUCAACCUCCUUUUGUUUUUUCAAAAGGAGGGUGGACUUGAGCUAUCCCAACAACCUUCACCGGUAGGCGGGCGGCUUGAAAUGCAGGUGCAGCUGGACUUUUAUCUGAGCUAAAAGCAUAUCUAUUUAGUCCUCGUCAAACAGGAUUAUUACUAUUGCUGCAGCUAACAUAAAGGAUAAUUGUCCUCAUUGCUGACUGAUGCAGGAUUUUACGACACUUUAUGUGUUGUUCAACUCGAUCUCAAAUCAAGUAAGACUACCCGCUGAACUUAAGCAUAUCAAUAAGCGGAGGCU